Molecule: long non-coding RNA, 2926 nt
Organism: Monodelphis domestica (gray short-tailed opossum)
Lineage: Eukaryota; Metazoa; Chordata; Mammalia; Didelphimorphia; Didelphidae
Source: Ensembl
AUGGAGAUCAUGCUGGGCCAAAGGCACCUCAGGGAGAGCAACAGCCUGUGGCCCGGCUCUCCAGAGUCCCUUUAUAGGGGGCCCUGGUGGCUCCUGGAGGUUCCUCUGAAAAGGCGAAGGGGGCCUGGGGAGGCUGCAACAGCCUCAAGCUACAGCCCUGCUCAAAGACUUCAGAGCUUUCCCCAGAGCCCCUGCCUAGAAUGGGGGCUGCCUGUCCUUCCCUCUCCAGAGCUAGCUGAGCAGCGGGCCUCCAGCUUUGGCUCUGAGCUCUGUGGCAAAGGCCCCGGGGCGCCUCCUGAGACAGGCCCAAACUUUCGGGUGGCCCCCCCACACCCCCUUUGUGGCCAGGGGCUGGAGAGGGCCUUCCUCCGGGGUGCUGCCCCCUUCUUCCUUGUCCUGCCUUGCAUGGGACCCGGGGAAUGCUGCCAGCUGGCCCCCCCUGACCCUCCUGACCCAUGCAUGAGGUCACAACGGGGGCCUCCUGGCUGUGUUACGCCUGGGAGGCUGCCCCUUCUUAGCUCAGCUGUCCCAGAGAGCCAUAGCCAGUCUGCCCUCCCCACAGAGAGUAUCCUGGCCCUCCUCCAGCAGCCCCCUCCACCCCCACCCCAGAGCCCUGAUCUUCAGGCGCACCGACACUCCCUGAGCCCAAUGAAACCCCGGAAACCCUCACCAGGUGGGGCCCCAGCCUGGGGGGCUGCAGGGCUGCAGGGGAGCCCCCGGGGGCCGGCCAGCCCCCAGCUCCGGCCUGCUUCCUCCCUGCUCGCAGUUGUCCAGCCCGGAGAGCUCCACCUGCCGGAAGAGGAAGUGGAAGCGGAACUGUCGUUCCCGCUGUGCUUCCCCAAGCCUGGCCCUCUACAGAGAGCCAUGGCGGAGGGCAACUACCCGCCCCUACCCGCCCCUCGGGCCCCUCACGGCCAUGUUCGAGAGCGACUUUGUGCAGGACGAGAGCGCCCCGAUGUCCGCAGCGGAGGCCCCCCCCAAACGGAAGGAGGUGGCCUUCCCUCCCCAGUACCCAUCCCAAGGACCAAGGGGAGCCCGGCCUGGACCGGGGACAAAGCACUGCACUACCCGGGGCCGCUCUCCCAAGUGAUUGACCAGCAGAGCGCCCCGGCCCUCCCGGAAGUGAAGUCGGAAGUGAUGUCGAGAGCGGAAGCCGCCCACAUGCCCUUUGGUCCCAGCAGAAGCUCCCAGUCAGGAGAGAAGAGGAGCGGAAGCUGCCGCACCAUUGGAGACGUCCUCUUCAGGGCCCUCCAGGCCACCCUCCCAAGAGCACCCCCAGGAGCGGGGCACUGCCAACAAGCUGCCGCUUCCCCAAGAGCAGCCGCAGCCCCAAGAACUCCCCCAAGACCAGCCGCAGCCCUAAGAGCUCCCCCAAGACCAGCUGCAGCCCCAAGAGCUCUCCCAAGACCAGCCGCAGCCCCAAGAGCUCCCCCAAGACCAGCCGCAGCCCCAAGAGCUCCCCCAAGACCAGCCGCAGCCCCAAGAGCUCUCCCAAGACCAGCCGCAGCCCCAAGAGCUCCCCCAAGACCAGCCGCAGCCCCAAGAGCUCCCCCAAGACCAGCCGCAGCCCCAAGAGCUCUCCCAAGACCAGCCGCAGCCCCAAGAGCUCUCCCAAGACCAGCUGCAGCCCCAGGAGCUCCCCCAAGACCAGCCGCAGCCCCAACAGCUCCCCCAAGACCAGCCGCAGCCCCAAGAGCUCCCCCAAGACCAGCCGCAGCCCCAACAGCUCCCCCAAGACCAGCUGCAGCCCCAAGAGGGCCCCCAAGAGAGGCGCCAUUCCAAGGGCCACCGCCAUUCAAAAAAGUGGCAGCUUCCCCAAGAGCAGCCAAAGCCCCAAAAGCUCCCCCAAAAGCAGCCACACUCCCGAAGGCGGUGCGAAUGCAAAGAGGCACAGCAGCCACAGCCCCAAGAGCAGCACCCAGCUAAGGAGCGUGACUCCUCAGGGGAGCCCAGAACCCUGGCAGCAUAUGUAUUAAAAAAGUUAGAGGCCUGGGAUGCCAGGCAUCACAGGUGGGUCCUCUGCCAGCCUGGGGAAGCAGCUUCGGCCUGGUCCUGGGUCGCCACAGAGCAGCCCAAGGACAACCCGAGGGACGGUCCGGAGCCCACCCAGGCCUCACAGCCCUCCGCCAGUUUCAAGGCUCUGAGGAAGGCUAUCCAGAAGCCACCGAGCUGGCUCACCAGAGCAUGGCAACAGUGUAAGAAGGUGGUCUGCACCUGUACCAAGGGCUCCAACUAAUCCCCUGCCCAAACCACCUAGCCCACUGCAUUAGAUUUUUUUUUAAUUUUUUUAAAAUAUAUUUUAUUUGAUCAUUUCCAAGCAUUAUUCGUUAAAGACAUAGAUCAUUUUCUUUUCCUCCCCCCCACCCCCAUAGCCGACGCGUAAGUCCACUGGUUAUUACAUGUUUUCUUGAUUUGAACCCAUUUCCAUGUUGAUAAUAUUUGCAUUGGAGUGUUCCUUUAGAUUCUCUCCUCUGUCAUGUCCCCUCAACCGCUGUAUUCAGGCAGUUGCUUUUCCUCGGUGUUUCCACUCCCAUAGUUUAUCCUUUGCUUAUGAAUAGUGUUUUUUUCUCCUGGAUCCUGCAUAUUGUUCAGGGACAUUACACCGCCACUAAUGGAGAAGUUCAUUACAUUCGAUUAUACCACAGUGUAUUAGUCUCUGUGUACAAUGUUCUCCUGGUUCUGCUCCUCUCGCUCUACAUCGCUUCCUGGAGGUUGUUCCAGUCUCCAUGGAAUUCCUCCACUUUAUUAUUCCUUUUAGCACAAUAGUAUUCCAUCACCAACAUAUACCACAAUUUGCUCAGCCAUUCCCCGAUUGAUGGGCAUCCCCUCGUUUUCCAGUUUUGGGCCACCACAAAGAGCGCAGCUAUGAAUAUUUUUGUACAAGUCUUUGUGUCCAUUAUCUCUUUGGGGUACAGACCCAGCAGUG